GUGGGGAAUAUUGGACAAUGGGCGCAAGCCUGAUCCAGCCAUGCCGCGUGAGUGAUGAAGGCCUUAGGGUUGUAAAGCUCUUUUGUCCGGGAAGAUAAUGACUGUACCGGAAGAAUAAGCCCCGGCUAACUUCGUGCCAGCAGCCGCGGUAAUACGAAGGGGGCUAGCGUUGCUCGGAAUCACUGGGCGUAAAGGGCGCGUAGGCGGACUUUUAAGUCGGAGGUGAAAGCCCAGGGCUCAACCCUGGAAUUGCCUUCGAUACUGGGAGUCUUGAGUUCGGAAGAGGUUGGUGGAACUGCGAGUGUAGAGGUGAAAUUCGUAGAUAUUCGCAAGAACACCGGUGGCGAAGGCGGCCAACUGGUCCGAAACUGACGCUGAGGCGCGAAAGCGUGGGGAGCAA
This 400-nucleotide ribosomal RNA is filed under the name uncultured Bradyrhizobiaceae bacterium. Its description in RNAcentral is "bacterial SSU rRNA". It matches the Rfam family "Bacterial small subunit ribosomal RNA", at positions 354 to 771 of the family's 1533-position model. The record is from RNAcentral. Lineage: Bacteria; Pseudomonadati; Pseudomonadota; Alphaproteobacteria; Hyphomicrobiales; Nitrobacteraceae.